AGGACGUCUUCAAAGGCUUCCCCUCAAGUCUGGAGAGUUUCUAACCUUUGGUGUUUUGUUAAUGCUUUGAGGAAAUUGAGGAAUAAAAGGGUUAAUUUGAAUAACAUCCUCAAAACAAAGAUUUGUGACGAUGGAGGAAGAAAUCAAUUAUUCUACAGUGGUUUUUAAAAUUAGUGCUCCACCUUCAAAAGAGAAAGAAGAAGAACCGGUGAUUUAUUCUGAGGUCAAAACCAAAGAGUCUGUAGCUGCUGCUCCACAGGAAAAAGAAGGACCACCGAUUUAUUCUGAGGUCAAAACCAAAGAGUCUGUAGCUG
Mugil cephalus (flathead mullet) is the source of this 314-nucleotide long non-coding RNA. RefSeq lists it as uncharacterized. NCBI's taxonomy places the organism in Eukaryota, Metazoa, Chordata, Actinopteri, Mugiliformes, Mugilidae. The record is from RefSeq and is a predicted model, not a curated record. The transcript is spliced from 3 exons.